This 207-nucleotide ribosomal RNA is filed under the name uncultured bacterium. RNAcentral describes it as "partial 16S ribosomal RNA". It matches the Rfam family "Bacterial small subunit ribosomal RNA", at positions 568 to 774 of the family's 1533-position model. The record is from RNAcentral.
CGCGUAGGCGGCUGCGCAAGUCGAACGUGAAAUCCCUCGGCUCAACCGAGGAACUGCGUCCGAUACUGCGUGGCUCGAGUCCCGGAGAGGGUAGCGGAAUUCCCAGUGUAGCGGUGAAAUGCGUAGAUAUUGGGAGGAACACCAGUGGCGAAGGCGGCUACCUGGACGGGUACUGACGCUGAGGCGCGAAAGCUAGGGGAGCAAACA